UACGAAGGGUGCAAGCGUUACUCGGAAUCACUGGGCGUAAAGGGCGCGUAGGCGGACUUUUAAGUCGGAGGUGAAAGCCCAGGGCUCAACCCUGGAAUUGCCUUCGAUACUGGGAGUCUUGAGUUCGGAAGAGGUUGGUGGAACUGCGAGUGUAGAGGUGAAAUUCGUAGAUAUUCGCAAGAACACCGGUGGCGAAGGCGGCCAACUGGUCCGAAACUGACGCUGAGGCGCGAAAGCGUGGGGAGCAAACAGG
RNAcentral lists this ribosomal RNA (253 nucleotides) under uncultured bacterium. RNAcentral describes it as "partial 16S ribosomal RNA". It matches the Rfam family "Bacterial small subunit ribosomal RNA", at positions 524 to 776 of the family's 1533-position model. The record is from RNAcentral.